This is a long non-coding RNA of Helianthus annuus (common sunflower), 530 nucleotides long. RefSeq lists it as uncharacterized. The record is from RefSeq and is a predicted model, not a curated record. NCBI's taxonomy places the organism in Eukaryota, Viridiplantae, Streptophyta, Magnoliopsida, Asterales, Asteraceae. The transcript is spliced from 2 exons.
AUUUGUAAUCAAUCAACUCCUGUAAACCAAAGGGGGAUAAUUCCAAUUCCAAACACCCACACAAACAGGAACACAAGUCGGCGUUAUCAUCACAUCAGGUUUUUGUGGUGAAAUUACUAUGGAGAUGCAGAUGCAAGACGAAUCAUUUCUGAAUCCAUCGGUUAAAGCAACACUUUGUCUUGGAUCAGAAACGCAUACGAUUGAAGCUUGCAAGGGUAUUCUUUCAGACCAGUUGGUUUAUAUAAAAGGAGAAAGUAUGAGCGUAUUGAAAGAAUUCAUCACCAAGCAUAACGUUCCAAAUGAUGUACCAGAUGAAAUAGUGUCCGAAGGCGACGCCGAUGAUGACGACGAGGCGCCCGUUGUCAAGUCAAAGAAGAUUAGAACAGAGAAAUAGUUGAUUAUGUUGACUUAUGUUAUUUGGUCUGAUGAGGUAUGUUGACUUUUAUGGUUGGUUAUAUAUACAGUUGCAAAUUUUGAACUAACAUGAAACAACCAUUGCGAAAGUUUUAUUUUAUAUAAGUUUUACUGUA